UGGGGAAUUUUGGACAAUGGGCGCAAGCCUGAUCCAGCCAUGCCGCGUGCGGGAAGAAGGCCUUCGGGUUGUAAACCGCUUUUGUCAGGGAAGAAAUCUUCUGAGUUAAUACCUCGGGAGGAUGACGGUACCUGAAGAAUAAGCACCGGCUAACUACGUGCCAGCAGCCGCGGUAAUACGUAGGGUGCAAGCGUUAAUCGGAAUUACUGGGCGUAAAGCGUGCGCAGGCGGUUUUGUAAGACAGAGGUGAAAUCCCCGGGCUCAACCUGGGAACUGCCUUUGUGACUGCAAGGCUUGAGUGCGGCAGAGGGGGGAUGGAAUUCCGCGUGUAGCAGUGAAAUGCGUAGAUAUGCGGAGGAACACCGAUGGCGAAGGCAAUCCCCUGGGCCUGCACUGACGCUCAUGCACGAAAGCGUGGGGAGCAAAACAGGAUUAGAUACCCUGGUAGUCCACGCCCUAAACCGAUGUCAACUGGUUGUUGGGGAAGGUUCCUUCUCAGUAACGUAGCUAACGCGUGAA
RNAcentral lists this ribosomal RNA (519 nucleotides) under uncultured bacterium. RNAcentral describes it as "partial 16S ribosomal RNA". It matches the Rfam family "Bacterial small subunit ribosomal RNA", at positions 355 to 863 of the family's 1533-position model. The record is from RNAcentral.